Astatotilapia calliptera (eastern happy) is the source of this 1277-nucleotide long non-coding RNA. NCBI's taxonomy places the organism in Eukaryota, Metazoa, Chordata, Actinopteri, Cichliformes, Cichlidae. The record is from Ensembl.
CUGUUAUCUCCUUCAAACCCCUUUCAACACUACGUGCUGUUUCUGUUGUUCUUCUCCAGGCUGCAGUACUUUCUGUUUCGAGCUUGGCCAAUCAAAUUUGCCGGUGGUUCUUUAAUAACGUCUGUAAGUUGAUGCUCUGCAGGUUGUUUUGCACACGAUGUGUUCCGCUAUUGGCACUUUCUUGAAACCAAGAUCUCCGAUGCCAUCUAGUGGUCUCUUGUCUCCUGAUUGUGGUUAGAUAGUAGGAGUGUUCUUGUUUACAGGCUUGCAACUCGCGUCCCGUCCCGUUAGUGUGUGGGCCACAAUCACGUCAUUAUUCUCCUCAUCAGUGUGAACUUUCUAAGUAUUUGAUAUCUCUUUCUCUGACUCACGUUUGCUUUUGGUUUUAAACUACAGCCAGACAGGACUCUCCCCAUAUGAGUGAAUGCUGAAUUCAGUGGGUGGAAAAUGCCCAGAAGCAACAGUGGGUGAGAAGGCGCAAAACUGGGAAAUAUCGGGCUGUCAAGAAAUGCGCAUAAUCGCAUAUUAGGUAUUUGUGUCGAGUUAAACGUGUGGGCUUAAAGUAAAGCAGUACCCGAAUAAUUAAAAUGAAUAAACAACACAGUAUUUGGUCACAGGUCAAAUCAAGUUUGUAGAACAGAAAAAAAAAAAAACUGCGCUGGCGUGCAUCACCUUCACACUUCACAGCUCUUGCGUGAGAUUUUGAUCACAAGAUUUUGUGUAAAGAUUGUAAAGAUACCCCUUCUGUGGUUUCAUGCAAAAAAUAAAAACAAAACAAAAACUGUUGCUAAGAAAGACGAAAUAGAUUUCACACUCGAUAAGUGCACAGGCACCUUUCAGGCACUGGGUGAAACUUUCAGAACAGAGACACAGGUGCGUCAGGUGAAGUAAAUAACCUCGAAUGGGGCUUAGAUGACAAAUACUCCAGGCUGAUAACGCUCAUGCGUAGAUACCAGGGUUUAAAAUGCUGCAAAAAUGUUCUCUAGCAGACCUCAGUGAGUAACUAUUGUAGCGGACGUGGGUUGAGUGGGAGGUAAAAUCGUGCGUUCUUUGUGCAGUGAUGCAACACACACUGCUUGCACUGAUUCAAAAACAGCAGCGGCAUCUGCUCCGGACUGAUAAGAUCAGCAACAGUCCCCUUCCUGAUACCUUCUCAUAGUUUAUCUCUCGAACUGAUCUUCAUCACAGUAAUGACAUUCGUUCACUAUUACUGUACACGUAUAUUCCUCCUGAUUUUAAUAUUCUCACUUUGCUUUUCAUUGUUUCCCCGCAGUGCU